ACGCUCGACACCUACGGGAUGCAGCAGUGGGGAAUAUUGCACAAUGGGGGAAACCCUGAUGCAGCAACGCCGCGUGAAGGAAGACGGUUUUCGGAUUGUAAACUUCUGUUCUUAGUGAAGAUAGUGACGGUAGCUAAGGAGCAAGCCACGGCUAACUACGUGCCAGCAGCCGCGGUAAUCUGAGCGGCUGGCAAGGC
RNAcentral lists this ribosomal RNA (197 nucleotides) under uncultured bacterium. RNAcentral's name for it is "partial 16S ribosomal RNA". It matches the Rfam family "Bacterial small subunit ribosomal RNA", at positions 326 to 539 of the family's 1533-position model. The record is from RNAcentral.